This 252-nucleotide ribosomal RNA is filed under the name uncultured bacterium. Its description in RNAcentral is "partial 16S ribosomal RNA". It matches the Rfam family "Bacterial small subunit ribosomal RNA", at positions 524 to 776 of the family's 1533-position model. The record is from RNAcentral.
UACGGAGGGUGCAAGCGUUAUCCGGAUUCACUGGGUUUAAAGGGUGCGUAGGAGGGCAGGUAGUCAGGGGUGAAAUCUUCGAGCUUAACUCGGAAACUGCCGUUGAUACUAUCUGUCUUGAAUACCGUGGAGAUGAGCGGAAUAUGUCAUGUAGCGGUGAAAUGCUUAGAUAUGACAUAGAACACCAAUUGCGAAGGCAGCUCGUUACACGAAUAUUGACUCUGAGGCACGAAAGCGUGGGGAUCAAACAGG